This 353-nucleotide long non-coding RNA is filed under the name Setaria italica (foxtail millet). RNAcentral describes it as "long non-coding RNA (SITA_LNC006971)". The record is from RNAcentral. Lineage: Eukaryota; Viridiplantae; Streptophyta; Magnoliopsida; Poales; Poaceae.
AGAGGACGGAAAAGAAGACCUAGUCUCAUCAGAUGAGGGUUCUUCUCUAGCUGCUCGCACAAAGUCAAAUUCUACAGCCAAGCUUGACUUUGACUUGAAUGAAGGGAUACCUGGGGAUGAUUGCCAUCAGUCUGAGCCAGCUGUCUCACCUGUUAUAUGUUCCUCAGCGAUCCAUUUACCUGGUCUUUCGCCAUUCACUUCACCUGUUACAAGUGGGCUGCAGCCGGCUCCAAUAACAGUAGCUGCUCCAGCUAAAGGACCCUUUGUUCCCCCUGAUAACCUACUAAGAGCGAAGCCUGAGAUUGGGUGGAAAGGUUCAGCAGCUACAAGUGCAUUUCGUCCUGCUGAACCGA